This 603-nucleotide ribosomal RNA is filed under the name uncultured fungus. RNAcentral's name for it is "eukaryotic LSU rRNA". It matches the Rfam family "Eukaryotic large subunit ribosomal RNA", at positions 23 to 641 of the family's 3401-position model. Lineage: Eukaryota; Fungi. The record is from RNAcentral.
ACCCGCUGAACUUAAGCAUAUCAAUAAGCGGAGGAAAAGAAACCAACAGGGAUUGCCCUAGUAACGGCGAGUGAAGCGGCAACAGCUCAAAUUUGAAAUCUGGCGUCUUUGGCGUCCGAGUUGUAAUUUGCAGAGGGCGCUUUGGCAUUGGCAGCGGUCCAAGUUCCUUGGAACAGGACGUCACAGAGGGUGAGAAUCCCGUACGUGGUCGCUAGCCUUUACCGUGUAAAGCCCCUUCGACGAGUCGAGUUGUUUGGGAAUGCAGCUCUAAAUGGGAGGUAAAUUUCUUCUAAAGCUAAAUACUGGCCAGAGACCGAUAGCGCACAAGUAGAGUGAUCGAAAGAUGAAAAGCACUUUGGAAAGAGAGUUAAAAAGCACGUGAAAUUGUUGGAAGGGAAGCGCUUGCAGCCAGACUUGCCUGUAGUUGCUCAUCCGGGUUUUUACCCGAUGCACUCUUCUAUAGGCAGGCCAGCAUCAGUUUGGGCGGUUGGAUAAAGGUCCCUGUCAUGUACCUCUCUUCGGGGAGAACUUAUAGGGGAGACGACAUGCAACCAGCCCGGACUGAGGUCCGCGCAUCUGCUAGGAUGCUGGCGUAAUGGCUGU